Small nuclear RNA from Pteropus vampyrus (large flying fox), 123 nucleotides. NCBI's taxonomy places the organism in Eukaryota, Metazoa, Chordata, Mammalia, Chiroptera, Pteropodidae. The record is from Ensembl.
GUAUUGUAUGAAAGGAGAGGUUAGUAAUCCCAUUGACAAGGAUGGAAGAGGCCCUCGGGCCUCAUAACACGCAUACAGUUAAGGCAUUGCUACCUACUUUGUGGCAUCUAACCAUGGUGUUUU